UGGGGAAUAUUGCACAAUGGGCGCAAGCCUGAUGCAGCCAUGCCGCGUGUGUGAAGAAGGCCUUCGGGUUGUAAAGCACUUUCAGCGAGGAGGAAGGGUAGUGUGUUAAUAGCACAUUGCAUUGACGUUACUCGCAGAAGAAGCACCGGCUAACUCCGUGCCAGCAGCCGCGGUAAUACGGAGGGUGCAAGCGUUAAUCGGAAUUACUGGGCGUAAAGCGCACGCAGGCGGUUUGUUAAGUCAGAUGUGACAUCCCCGCGCUUAACGUGGGGACUGCAUUUGAAACUGGCAAGCUAGAGUCUUGUAGAGGGGGGUAGAAUUCCAGGUGUAGCGGUGAAAUGCGUAGAGAUCUGGAGGAAUACCGGUGGCGAAGGCGGCCCCCUGGACAAAGACUGACGCUCAGGUGCGAAAGCGUGGGGAGCAAACA
Molecule: ribosomal RNA, 427 nt
Filed under: uncultured bacterium
Lineage: Bacteria
Description: partial 16S ribosomal RNA
Rfam family: Bacterial small subunit ribosomal RNA
Source: RNAcentral